UGCAACUUAGUUUAAAUAGAACAAUUAAUUUGCAUUUAAUAAGUGAAUUUUUUUUUUCAGUAGCAA
This 66-nucleotide transfer RNA is filed under the name Piscicola geometra. RNAcentral's name for it is "tRNA-Ala". The record is from RNAcentral. Lineage: Eukaryota; Metazoa; Annelida; Clitellata; Hirudinida; Piscicolidae.